RNAcentral lists this transfer RNA (67 nucleotides) under Marmota monax (woodchuck). RNAcentral describes it as "tRNA.Ala". The record is from RNAcentral. Lineage: Eukaryota; Metazoa; Chordata; Mammalia; Rodentia; Sciuridae.
GGUUGUGGCUCAGUGGUAGAGCACUCACCUAGCACGUGCGAGGUGCUGGGUUUGAUCCUCAGCACCA